RNAcentral lists this ribosomal RNA (274 nucleotides) under uncultured bacterium. RNAcentral's name for it is "partial 16S ribosomal RNA". It matches the Rfam family "Bacterial small subunit ribosomal RNA", at positions 523 to 796 of the family's 1533-position model. The record is from RNAcentral.
AUACGGAGGGUGCAAGCGUUAUCCGGAAUCAUUGGGUUUAAAGGGUCCGUAGGCGGGCUAUUAAGUCAGAGGUGAAAUCCCACAGCUCAACUGUGGAACUGCCUUUGAUACUGAUAGUCUUGAGUUACAGUGAAGUAGAUAGAAUAUGUAGUGUAGCGGUGAAAUGCAUAGAUAUUACAUAGAAUACCGAUUGCGAAGGCAGUCUACUAACUGUAUACUGACGCUGAUGGACGAAAGCGUGGGGAGCAAACAGGAUUAGAAACCCUAGUAGUCC